AAUUGUCGUCUAUACAAUUAUGAUGGGAAGAAAUAAUUGGAGGGAAAUUUUAAUUGAUAUUUUCCCACCUUAUGGGUUGAUGUUUAAUCAUGAAAAUCCCCAGGAAAAUUAUUAACUCAUCUUGUUUAAAAAUCCCAGUGUUAGCCUCCAAAUUUAGCAUUACUUGAACUGAAUUUGGGGUAAGGCAAAUUUACAAAGCAUUUGGAAUUGAUCUAUAUUACCGUGAAAAACCAGUUACUAU
This 241-nucleotide long non-coding RNA is filed under the name Gossypium barbadense (sea-island cotton). RNAcentral's name for it is "long non-coding RNA (GBAR_LNC020524)". The record is from RNAcentral. Lineage: Eukaryota; Viridiplantae; Streptophyta; Magnoliopsida; Malvales; Malvaceae.